AGAACGACGCUGGCGGCAUGCCUAACACAUGCAAGUCGAACGAGACCUUCGGGUCUAGUGGCGCACGGGUGCGUAACGCGUGGGAAUCUGCCCUUUGCUUCGGAAUAACAGUUAGAAAUGACUGCUAAUACCGGAUGAUGUCUUCGGACCAAAGAUUUAUCGGCAAAGGAUGAGCCCGCGUAGGAUUAGGUAGUUGGUGGGGUAAAGGCCUACCAAGCCGACGAUCCUUAGCUGGUCUGAGAGGAUGAUCAGCCACACUGGGACUGAGACACGGCCCAGACUCCUACGUGAGGCAGCAGUGGGGAAUAUUGGACAAUGGGCGCAAGCCUGAUCCAGCAAUGCCGCGUGAGUGAUGAAGGCCUUCGGGUCGUAAAGCUCUUUUACCAGGGAUGAUAAUGACAGUACCUGGAGAAUAAGCUCCGGCUAACUCCGUG
RNAcentral lists this ribosomal RNA (434 nucleotides) under uncultured bacterium. Its description in RNAcentral is "bacterial SSU rRNA". It matches the Rfam family "Bacterial small subunit ribosomal RNA", at positions 32 to 507 of the family's 1533-position model. The record is from RNAcentral.